CAGUAGCCGCGGUAAUACGUAGGGUGCAAGCGUUAAUCGGAAUUACUGGGCGUAAAGCGUGCGCAGGCGGUUAUAUAAGACAGAUGUGAAAUCCCCGGGCUCAACCUGGGAACUGCAUUUGUGACUGUAUAGCUAGAGUACGGCAGAGGGGGAUGGAAUUCCGCGUGUAGCAGUGAAACGCGUAGAUAUGCGGAGGAACACCGAUGGCGAAGGCAAUCCCCUGGGCCUGUACUGACGCUCAUUCACGAAAGCGUGGGGAGCAAACAGGAUUAGAGACCCCAGUAGUCCCUGUCUCUUAUAC
Molecule: ribosomal RNA, 301 nt
Filed under: uncultured bacterium
Lineage: Bacteria
Description: partial 16S ribosomal RNA
Rfam family: Bacterial small subunit ribosomal RNA
Source: RNAcentral